GGGCGCAUGGUCUAGAGGUAUGAUAUUCGCUUUGCAUCUGAAUCCAGAAAAUGCUUGCGAAGGGUCCGGGGUUCAAUUCCCCGUGCGUCCA
Molecule: transfer RNA, 91 nt
Filed under: Xylaria sp. FL1042
Lineage: Eukaryota; Fungi; Ascomycota; Sordariomycetes; Xylariales; Xylariaceae
Description: tRNA-Ala
Rfam family: tRNA
About the family: Transfer RNA (tRNA) molecules are approximately 80 nucleotides in length.
Source: RNAcentral